UACAUGGGGUGCAAACGUUGCUCGGAAUUAUUGGGCGUAAAGCGCGCGUAGGCGGUUACUCAAGUCGGAUGUGAAAGCCCUCGGCUUAACUGAGGAAGUGCACCCGAAACUGAGUAGCUAGAGUACUAAAGAGGGUCGCGGAAUUCCCGGUGUAGCAGUGAAAUGCGCAGAUAUCAGGAGGAACACCAGUGGCGAAGGCGACUUCCUGGCCUGUUCUUGACGCUGAGGCACUAAAGCGUGGGGAGCAAACAGG
Molecule: ribosomal RNA, 253 nt
Filed under: uncultured bacterium
Lineage: Bacteria
Description: partial 16S ribosomal RNA
Rfam family: Bacterial small subunit ribosomal RNA
Source: RNAcentral